AAAGUCGUAACAAGGUUUCCGUAGGUGAACCUGCGGAAGGAUCAUUAUUGAAUCCUCAAGGAUGUUGCUGGCCUUUUUGGCAUGUGCACUCCGCCUUUCAAUUCACCUGUGAACUUAUUGUAGGCCCGAGUGGUCUAUGUUUUAUAAACACCCAAAAAGUCUAUAGAAUGUCUUAUAGUAGACCUUUAUGGUCAAAACUUUAAUACAACUUUCAACAAUGGAUCUCUUGGUUCUC
RNAcentral lists this unclassified non-coding RNA (235 nucleotides) under Basidiomycota sp. RNAcentral's name for it is "partial contains small subunit ribosomal RNA, internal transcribed spacer 1, and 5.8S ribosomal RNA". The stretch from base 1 to 47 matches the Rfam family "Eukaryotic small subunit ribosomal RNA", at positions 1785 to 1831 of the family's 1831-position model. Lineage: Eukaryota; Fungi; Basidiomycota. The record is from RNAcentral.